ACGGGCCGUACGCCGAGUUCUGCCCUUGRCCCGUCGUCCCUCCGAGAUCRCCAGGGCAGAAGCGGGGGAACCACGUUCCUCCGGGCGGCCGCCGCGGUGGCCGCCCUCGGGGUGAAGUCGGCGCGCUCGUGYGCCUGACCGGGCUUCCCGGCCCGAACCCGACAGCUAACCCCGCAGGCGUACGGGAAGGAUCUU
This 195-nucleotide small RNA is filed under the name Frankia sp. RNAcentral describes it as "c-di-AMP sequence". It matches the Rfam family "c-di-AMP riboswitch aptamer (ydaO/yuaA leader)". From Rfam's summary of the family: This family represents a conserved RNA structure found upstream of the ydaO and yuaA genes in Bacillus subtilis and related genes in other bacteria. The ydaO/yuaA element is thought to act as a genetic "off" switch for the ydaO and yuaA genes in its native state. It is believed that the element may be triggered during osmotic shock leading to activation of ydaO, a predicted amino acid transporter gene, and members of the yuaA-yubG operon which code for KtrA and KtrB K+ transporters. The record is from RNAcentral. Lineage: Bacteria; Bacillati; Actinomycetota; Actinomycetes; Frankiales; Frankiaceae.